This 497-nucleotide ribosomal RNA is filed under the name uncultured bacterium. RNAcentral's name for it is "partial 16S ribosomal RNA". It matches the Rfam family "Bacterial small subunit ribosomal RNA", at positions 28 to 507 of the family's 1533-position model. The record is from RNAcentral.
GAUGAACGCUGGCGGCGUGCCUAAUACAUGCAAGUCGAGCGAACGGACGAGAAGCUUGCUUCUCUGAUGUUAGCGGCGGACGGGUGAGUAACACGUGGAUAACCUACCUAUAAGACUGGGAUAACUUCGGGAAACCGGAGCUAAUACCGGAUAAUAUUUUGAACCGCAUGGUUCAAAAGUGAAAGACGGUCUUGCUGUCACUACUAGAUGGAUCCGCGCUGCAUUAGCUAGUUGGUAAGGUAACGGCUUACCAAGGCAACGAUGCAUAGCCGACCUGAGAGGGUGAACGGCCACACUGGAACUGGGACACGGUCCAGACUCCUACGGGAGGCAGCAGUAGGGAAUCUUCCGCAAUGGGCGAAAGCCUGACGGAGCAACGCCGCGUGAGUGAUGAAGGUCUUCGGAUCGUAAAACUCUGUUAUUAGGGAAGAACAUAUGUGUAAGUAACUGUGCACAUCUUGACGGUACCUAAUCAGAAAGCCACGGCUAACUACGUG